Molecule: ribosomal RNA, 112 nt
Filed under: Salvator merianae (Argentine black and white tegu)
Lineage: Eukaryota; Metazoa; Chordata; Lepidosauria; Squamata; Teiidae
Source: RNAcentral
GAUUACUGCUAUUUUUUAAAUUACUUUAAACUCUGGCUGCUUACCUUAUGAUCAGUCUCAAUUGGCCAGUACUUGGAUGGGAAACCUCUAGGAAAUCCCAGGGCUGUAAAUA